RNAcentral lists this ribosomal RNA (253 nucleotides) under uncultured bacterium. RNAcentral's name for it is "partial 16S ribosomal RNA". It matches the Rfam family "Bacterial small subunit ribosomal RNA", at positions 524 to 776 of the family's 1533-position model. The record is from RNAcentral.
UACGGAGGGUACGAACGUUAAUCGGAAUUACUGGGCGUAAAGCGCGCGUAGGUGGUUUCGUCAGUCAGAUGUGAAAGCCCAGAGCUUAACUCUGGAAUUGCAUCCGAUACUGGUUAACUAGAGUACAGUAGAGGGAAGCGGAAUUCCUAGUGUAGCGGUGAAAUGCGUAGAUAUGUCAAGGAACUCCAAUUGCGAAGGCAGCUCACGAAAGUAUAACUGACGCUGAUGCACGAAAGCGUGGGUAGCAAACAGG